RNAcentral lists this ribosomal RNA (599 nucleotides) under Pseudomonas savastanoi. RNAcentral's name for it is "bacterial SSU rRNA". It matches the Rfam family "Bacterial small subunit ribosomal RNA", at positions 109 to 704 of the family's 1533-position model. Lineage: Bacteria; Pseudomonadati; Pseudomonadota; Gammaproteobacteria; Pseudomonadales; Pseudomonadaceae. The record is from RNAcentral.
AGUAAUGCCUAGGAAUCUGCCUGGUAGUGGGGGAUAACGCUCGGAAACGGACGCUAAUACCGCAUACGUCCUACGGGAGAAAGCAGGGGACCUUCGGGCCUUGCGCUAUCAGAUGAGCCUAGGUCGGAUUAGCUAGUUGGUGGGGUAAUGGCUCACCAAGGCGACGAUCCGUAACUGGUCUGAGAGGAUGAUCAGUCACACUGGAACUGAGACACGGUCCAGACUCCUACGGGAGGCAGCAGUGGGGAAUAUUGGACAAUGGGCGAAAGCCUGAUCCAGCCAUGCCGCGUGUGUGAAGAAGGUCUUCGGAUUGUAAAGCACUUUAAGUUGGGAGGAAGGGCAGUUACCUAAUACGUGAUUGUUUUGACGUUACCGACAGAAUAAGCACCGGCUAACUCUGUGCCAGCAGCCGCGGUAAUACAGAGGGUGCAAGCGUUAAUCGGAAUUACUGGGCGUAAAGCGCGCGUAGGUGGUUCGUUAAGUUGAAUGUGAAAUCCCCGGGCUCAACCUGGGAACUGCAUCCAAAACUGGCGAGCUAGAGUACGGUAGAGGGUGGUGGAAUUUCCUGUGUAGCGGUGAAAUGCGUAGAUAUAGGAAGG